UGGGGAAUAUUGCACAAUGGGCGCAAGCCUGAUGCAGCCAUGCCGCGUGUAUGAAGAAGGCCUUCGGGUUGUAAAGUACUUUCAGUCGGGAGGAAGGUGGUAAGGUUAAUAACCUUAUCAAUUGACGUUACCGACAGAGGAAGCACCGGCUAACUCCGUGCCAGCAGCCGCGGUAAUACGGAGGGUGCAAGCGUUAAUCGGAAUUACUGGGCGUAAAGCGCACGCAGGCGGUUGAUUGAGUCAGAUGUGAAAUCCCCGGGCUUAACCCGGGAAUUGCAUCUGAUACUGGUCAGCUAGAGUCUUGUAGAGGGGGGUAGAAUUCCAUGUGUAGCGGUGAAAUGCGUAGAGAUGUGGAGGAAUACCGGUGGCGAAGGCGGCCCCCUGGACAAAGACUGACGCUCAGGUGCGAAAGCGUGGGGAGCAAACAGG
This 429-nucleotide ribosomal RNA is filed under the name Chloroflexota bacterium. RNAcentral describes it as "Chloroflexi bacterium partial 16S ribosomal RNA". It matches the Rfam family "Bacterial small subunit ribosomal RNA", at positions 355 to 776 of the family's 1533-position model. The record is from RNAcentral. Lineage: Bacteria; Bacillati; Chloroflexota.